CAACAAUGACACUGCUGUGAAGAUUAUAACAUCUGGUGACCCCGAUGUGAUAGGGAACACGCAACCAUAAGAAAACACUGAGAGAAGGUUACAACAGGUACCUGCCACGAUGCUGGCCAGCUGCCUGGUGCUGGUGAUGGGGUAGAUGCUGCGUGCCUGCACGAUGGCAGAGGCGAUCCUCCUGGCGUGCCGCUCCUCGCCGUACGCACUGAGCACCGCCGCCAGCGACUGCCGGUCCAGCGCGUUCACCACGUCCGCCGCCGUGGGCAUGCCAGGACACCUGCACACACAGCAGCAAUGGGUCCAGUUAGUGCCCUGAGGGCAGCUGCCAGGCACCAGCGGUGAGCUUCCAUGGAGCCACACACACACAGCGCUGUGCAAACAGCUCGUGCCUUCUACAUCCCCUUCUCUCGCUGGUCGAGAGAAGCAACUGGAUAAAAUGGUCAUUACACAAAAGAGGGAUGCUGCUCCUUUCCUGAGGGAGCAGCUGGACCUGCUCAAGUGAAGUUUCCACAAACAGCAAGUGUGGCAGAAAAGGACAGGGACUGCAGCAAGAAGUUGUGAGCCUGCAGAUCAAGUGCAGGCAGAGAAACUGUGGAGAUAACAGGCCUCUGAAAGAGGGAGGUUCCUGUAAAUGUGUACCGCAUACUCCAAAAAUGCUACCAUUUAAAGGUGCAGUUAAUAAAACAUUACUGGUUUAAUCACUCACCACUGGAACCUUCCCCUCAUCUCCAAGAAGACAAAGACAACCAGGGCUGAGCACUGAGAGAGGAAAAAGCCUUUUUGGCAAAAGACAGACAGGAUGCUCGUGCAGUAUCAGAUGUGGUUGGAGGAUAAGAAUUCUCCAUUUUAAGAGGCAAGGAAAUGCACAGGGGUUGCAGAGCAGGCAGUUUUUGAGGUUCAAGAAGAAACGUUCUGUUAUAGUGUACCUGUC
Long non-coding RNA from Zonotrichia leucophrys gambelii, 934 nucleotides. RefSeq lists it as uncharacterized. The transcript is spliced from 3 exons. NCBI's taxonomy places the organism in Eukaryota, Metazoa, Chordata, Aves, Passeriformes, Passerellidae. The record is from RefSeq and is a predicted model, not a curated record.